AAUCAUUAUAACAGUCUGUUUACCCUGCUGAAAGUCCAUGAGUUUACAAAAAAUAACUAAUAGGCCAUUUUUUCAACAGUUCGUAAUACUAAUGCCUAAAAGAAAAUUUUAAAAGUAAACAAAAGAAAUAUUUUUCUCCAAAGUUCAGGUUUUCUUCUGCUAUCAGAUCCUUUAAUAGGGUGCAAACUUGCAAGGAAUCAGCUAUGGAGUUGUUCCUCACAAGUUGACACUUCGAGCUUCAACCUUGAGAUUACUUGGCUUUGUGGCCACUCACAUACAAAACAACAAUACAACUAUCAGUACAUAUAGAAAUCCAUAGAUUACUGUAACUUUGACUUAACUAACAAAAAGCAAUUAAAAAGAAAGGAAAGUGGCUACUUCAGCAGUUAUGAAUUCAUAUUCAAACCAUUCCAGCAUUCUUUUCACAUAAGAACUUGGCUAAGUAAAAUGCUCAAGCAUGCUAGUGAGGUAAUAACUUAACACAUUUGAAGGAAUCAUGAUCAUAAAGAACAAACAAGCUGGAAAUAAGAAAAGACACUUAACAAACAAAAGCUUUUCAUUCAGCCACCCAGACAAAAGAUUACAGAAGCUAAAUGAACCCAAGUCAAGCAUGUGAGUCCAAAAUGUGUACCUUUAUCAGCAAAAUAGACAAUAAAAGCAAAAAUCUCUCUGAAAACUGAAUUUCAGCAGCAAAAGACAGCAGCAACAAAACCAAAAAUAACCCAAAGAUUCAAAUCCAAACCAAAACCAGCUUGAAACCAGGAGAUCCAGCUAAAAGAACUAAGAAAAUCUUUUAUUUCAUACUAUGUUUUCAACUUGUAAAAAAUCAUAAAAUGAGAAGUUUUUGUGCAGUGAAUUUGAUGAUGAAUGUCUGUUUAUCAGAAUGAGAGAACCUACAUAUAUAGGCUGCCUAGAGAAGGUAUAUUUUUUGGCAUAUUCCUUAUCCUAAAGUAAAAAUAGUACUGUCCUUUUACAGCCCCUGGUACAGCUGUCCUAUAUUUCAACGUCUUUUAUAACAGCUAGGACAGCUGUACAUUUCUAG
RNAcentral lists this long non-coding RNA (1042 nucleotides) under Nicotiana tabacum (common tobacco). RNAcentral's name for it is "long non-coding RNA (NTAB_LNC010690)". Lineage: Eukaryota; Viridiplantae; Streptophyta; Magnoliopsida; Solanales; Solanaceae. The record is from RNAcentral.